UUGAAGCAAGUGGGGACAGCAGACUGGGAUAGGGAGAGAUUGAAUAUGUCUGUGAAACGGCUGGUUUGCGCAUGUUUUGAGGACGUGGAUAGGGAUACCGUCUGUACUGGCAUCCUUGCAAGGGUUGACACAUUUAAAUGUCUUACUCAAGUUGGCCAUGGAGAAGGAGAGCCCACAGUCCUUGGUAGAGGGACACGUCGGUGGCACUGUGUUAUCCUUAAAGCGGGGGAAGAAGGUGUUUAGCUUGCCCGGAAGCAAGAUAUCGGUGUCCGUGACGUGGCUGGUUUUGCCUUUGUAGUGCGUGAUUGUCUGUAGACCCUGGCACAUACGUCUCAUGUCUGAGCCAUUGAAUUGCGUCUUCACUUUCUCUGUACUGACGUUUUGCCUGUUUGAUUGCCUUACGGCGGGAAUAACUACACUGUUUGUGUUUGGCCAUAUUCCCAGUCACCUUGUCACGGUUAAAUGCUGUUGUUCGUGCUUUCAGUUUUGUGCGAAUGCUGCGAUCUAUCCACAGUUUCUGGUUUGGGUAUGUUUUAAUAGUCACAGUGGGUACAACAUCUCUUAUGCACUUCCUGAUGAACUCAGUCACCGUAUCCGUUUAUUCGUCAAUGUUAUUCUCAGAGGCUACCCGGAAUAUAUCCCAGCCCGCAUGAUCAAAACAAUCUUGAACCAUGGAUUCCGAUUGGUUAGACCAGUGUUGAGUAGACCUUAGCACGGGUACUUCCUGUAUGAGUUUCUGCCUAUAGGAAGGGAUAUAAUUGAGUCGUGAUCAGAUUUUCAAUGUGUUGGUAGAACUUCAGUAGCCUUUUCCUCAGAUUAGUGUUUUUUUUCAUCCCCAGCUACAAUAAAUGCGUCCUCAGGAUAUGUGGUUUCCAGUUUGCAUAAAGUCCAGUGUAGUUCUUUGAGGGCUGUCGUAGUAUCGGCUUGAGGGGGAGUAUACUUGGCUGUGACUAUAACUGAAGAGAAUUCUCUUGGGAGGUAAUACGGUGGGCAUUUCAUUAUGAGGUAUUCUUGGUUGGGUGAACAAAAGGACUUGAGUUUCUGUAUGUUAUCACACAAUGAGUAGUUAAUCAUGAAACAUACACCCCUGCCUUUCUUCUUCACAGAGAGUUCUUUAUUCCUAUCUGCGCGAUGUACUGAGAUCCCAGCUGGCUGUAUGGACAGGGACAGUAUAUCCCGAGAGAGCCAUGUUUCCGUGAAACGGAAUAUGUUACAAUCCCUGAUGCCUCUCUGGAAGAAGAUCCUUGCCCUGAGCUCAUCUACUUUAUUACCCAGAGACUGAACAUUAGCCAGUAAUAUACUCAGAAGCGGUGGAUGGAGUGCACGCCUCCUGAGUCGGACUAGAAGUCCACUCCGCAUACCUCUUCUCCACCAGUGGUGUUUUGGAGCAGCCUCUGGAAUAGGGUUAAAUUACCCUUGGGGGUACAAACAAAGGUUCCAAUUUGGGAAAGUCGUAUUCCUGGUCGUAAUGCUGGUUGUGAUAGUCUCACAGACUGCCUGAAGGUGCAGUCAAAGACCAUAGAGACUACCCCCUCCAGACCUAACCCCAGCAUCUCAGACCUCCAGUCCAGGCUGGGCACCACCAGCUCGGGCCACGGCCAGCACCCCGCCAGCAGACCCUCCGACCACCACCUCCACUACGACUCAAUGGUCCACAGCUACUCCCUCAACCCAGCCACUCCAACCCCGGUAGGGUCUAACAACUCGACUGGCGCCGACCCUCAUCCCUUGCCGCCGCAGACCAUGUACUGCCACCACACCUCCGACUCCCAGAGGUCACUGUGUGGUGAGCUGGAUCCUCUCUUCAUCCGCAAGGUCACGGCUGCAGAACUAGUCUGUGGGGAGAGUAAGUACAAGUGCUCAGGCUGCCUGAGGUACUACGAUCACCUGGGGACCCUGCUGGGUCAUAUCGACCAGGGCUGGAGAGAGGGCUUCAGCUGCAGGGUGUUCUACAGGAAGCUGAAGAGCAUGCAGGACCGCAGGCCCAUGGUCAUGAUGAGUUGCCAGAGCAGGGAGUCUCUUGCCAUGGAUAACGACCCUAAGCCCUCCAGCUCCUCCACCACAUACCUGGGGUCGGCCUCGCUGGUUCUGGCACCCCAGCCCACCGACAGCGUCGGGAGGAAGGGUCUUGAGACAAGCGAUAAGAAGGGAGACAUGAUCCAAAAGUGGCUGCAGAAGACAGAAGUGACAGCAUCACUUCACUGAGGCAGUUUUGUAUGAGUUGGUUGGAGAAUGUGUGUACUGUAGUAUUGUUGCUGGGUUGUCUAGAACUGACAGGGUGUUAACUUGUCAAAAAUAAAUACAAAAAAUAAUACACAAACAUAAUGUACUGUAGGUUACUUCUUCUUUAAAUGUGUUUUACUCAGAAAUGAGGAAAUCUGAAAUUAUCUUAAUUUAAGAGAUGAAAAGAGGUUUUCAUUCACCAAGGUUCAAAUCACCAUGCCCAUCUUCCAUGUCACUGUCUUACAUCAGAUAGUGCAACAAUUCCUUCUGCACUGACGAUUGAGGAAUGACGCCACCUGUCAGAAGACAAUGCUUCCAUGUAGAUGGCACUGCUUGUAUGACGUUUAUGACGUCACACAUGUAUUUAUUUUGGUGAUGGAGAGAUGAGAACAGUCAGAACACAUAUCCCACUUGCUCACCAAAAUUUAGUCUGCUGAUCUUCUUACCUCAAAGCCAAUGGACACGACAAAGCCAAUCAAAUGAAGUAUGUUUGAUUCCCAAAGCAGAUGACAAAGUAUUGACAAGCCUGUGUCGUAGAUGUACAUUUAUUCAAAUCUUUUGGCAAAAAAUAGGGAGACACUCAAAUGUGAUUACUUCAUUAACAUUACAUGCAGUGCCUUAGGAUUUUAUUCAUACCUCUGAGAAAUGUGUGAGCAUACAAGACUAGAAUAUAAAACCUAAAAGAAAUAUGAACAAGUCCAAUGAUCCAGUUCCAUGUGCUAAACAUUUAACAUGAAAGGUUGGUGUGUAGAGAAAAAAAAAAAAAAAAUCUUCUCACAACUGCUGUAGUUUGUGAAUUUGGAGUCUCCUCUGACAGAACAACAUUGACA
Long non-coding RNA from Oncorhynchus tshawytscha (Chinook salmon), 3053 nucleotides. NCBI's taxonomy places the organism in Eukaryota, Metazoa, Chordata, Actinopteri, Salmoniformes, Salmonidae. The record is from Ensembl.